GACGAACGCUGGCGGCGUGCUUAACACAUGCAAGUCGAACGGUAAGGCCCUUCGGGGUACACGAGUGGCGAACGGGUGAGUAACACGUGGGUGAUCUGCCCUGCACUUCGGGAUAAGCCUGGGAAACUGGGUCUAAUACCGGAUAGGACCCUGGGAUGCAUGUCCUGGGGUGGAAAGCUUUUGCGGUGUGGGAUGGGCCCGCGGCCUAUCAGCUUGUUGGUGGGGUGAUGGCCUACCAAGGCGACGACGGGUAGCCGGCCUGAGAGGGUGGCCGGCCACACGGGGGCUGAGAUACGGCCCAGACUCCUACGGGAGGCAGCAGUGGGGAAUAUUGCACAGUGGGCGCAAGCCUGAUGCAGCGACGCCGCGUGAGGGAUGACGGCCUUCGGGUUGUAAACCCCUUUCAGCACCGACGAAGCGCAAGUGACGGUAGGUGCAGAAGAAGGACCGGCCAACUACGUGCCAGCCGCCGCAGUAA
RNAcentral lists this ribosomal RNA (478 nucleotides) under uncultured bacterium. Its description in RNAcentral is "partial 16S ribosomal RNA". It matches the Rfam family "Bacterial small subunit ribosomal RNA", at positions 28 to 523 of the family's 1533-position model. The record is from RNAcentral.